This 202-nucleotide long non-coding RNA is filed under the name Mytilus galloprovincialis (Mediterranean mussel). The record is from RNAcentral. Lineage: Eukaryota; Metazoa; Mollusca; Bivalvia; Mytilida; Mytilidae.
CUUUGGUUGAACAGUUCAUGAGUUAAUGCACGGACAACAUUUGAUUGCCGCCUUUCAAGAACCAUAACUCCUGAACAGUAAAAGUCAAAAUCGCCAUUAUUGAACUUGACCUUCGUAUAGUUGUCAGUAAUAACAUAUUAAAAUUUUAAAAGCUUUGGUUGAACGGUUCAUGAGUUAAUGCACGGACAACAUUUGAUUGCCG